This 74-nucleotide transfer RNA is filed under the name Sphaerochaetaceae bacterium. Its description in RNAcentral is "tRNA-Arg". It matches the Rfam family "tRNA". From Rfam's summary of the family: Transfer RNA (tRNA) molecules are approximately 80 nucleotides in length. The record is from RNAcentral. RNAcentral also lists the same sequence under 1 other name. Lineage: Bacteria; Pseudomonadati; Spirochaetota; Spirochaetia; Spirochaetales; Sphaerochaetaceae.
GCGCUCGUAGCUCAGCUGGAUAGAGCGCCGGACUUCGAAUCCGUAGGUCGCAGGUUCGAAUCCUGCCGGGCGCA